Molecule: long non-coding RNA, 507 nt
Filed under: Homo sapiens (human)
Lineage: Eukaryota; Metazoa; Chordata; Mammalia; Primates; Hominidae
Description: HSALNT0286508
Source: RNAcentral
CUUGCUGCAGGGCAUCUCUUAAGCACAGUUUAAUCACAUUGCUGGGAACUGCAAUUAUUUUGCAUCUCCCGGAGGCUCCUGAGAGACAACUGUAAAUAAUGGCUUAUUCUCUUCACCAAACAAGAAGGCAAUUGACUCACACAAUUGCCUGAAGACUGGGCCUGGGAACUCCAGUUUCAUUCCACAGGGAUGCACUUAAAGGGCUGGCGUAGAGAAUGAAAAACUCCCCAAUGGAGUGCCUUCCUGCCUUCUCUAACUACAAAGUUCUUUAAGAAGCCAAGGGAGGCGUUACCUUCUUGUAUGCAGUCAGACUUCCACAGGUGCCAGCGCCAAGGGGAAGGCAGGGCAAAGGCUGAACACUGGCUAUGGCAGUGCCCACCCCUUCAUGGAGUCCACAUCUGACAAGCAGUGCAGGUGGAGCUAUGUGACAUGUCCCUUGGAGGAGUUUUGCUCCGGCUCACUGCAAUCUUGGCUCACUGCAACCUCCGCCUCCUGGGUUCAAGCGAU